CCCUUAGAUGUUCUGGGCUGCACGCGCGCUACACUGAUGCAUUCAACGAGCACCCGCUGGGCCGAGAGGUCCGGCUAAUCUUUGAACGUGCAUCGUGCUGGGGAUAGAUGAUUGCAAUUAUUCAUCUUCAACGAGGAAUUCCUAGUAAACGCAAGUCAUCAGCUUGCAUUGAUUACGUCCCUGCCCUUUGUACACACCGCCCGUCGCACCUACCGAUUGAAUGGUCCGGUGAAAUUCUCGGACGCGGACUAGCGAUGUUAAUUCGGAGCUUGACUGUGAAAGUUAAUUAAACCUUACCAUUUAGAGGAAGGUGAAGUCGUANCA
This 324-nucleotide ribosomal RNA is filed under the name uncultured eukaryote. RNAcentral's name for it is "partial 18S ribosomal RNA". It matches the Rfam family "Eukaryotic small subunit ribosomal RNA", at positions 1470 to 1796 of the family's 1831-position model. The record is from RNAcentral.